GCCCCGUUGGAGGUGAAUCGGACUGUAGAAGCAAUAUUUUAGCGGUUUAUCUUCUUAGAUACAUUCCGAACUGUCUUUAUCAGAAUUUCUGUUUGUGCUACCAACAGAUACCACAGACCAAGCUUGAUUUGUGUCUUCCUCAACGAAACCAUGGCUGGGCGACAGGCAGCUCGAAGGACCUCUCUAAACUGGGAUGAAUAUGAUACUGAUGAAGACAAGGAAGAAAUCGACAAAGUUGAAGCUAAACUGGGUGAAAAACUACAAGCUAAAGAGGACCGUCAGCCUGCAGUAAAAUGGAGAAAAAGAGACCAAUUUGGGCGGCUGAUUCUAAAGAGUCGCAGUUCUUCAAAAC
This is a long non-coding RNA of Gymnodraco acuticeps, 352 nucleotides long. RefSeq lists it as uncharacterized. NCBI's taxonomy places the organism in Eukaryota, Metazoa, Chordata, Actinopteri, Perciformes, Bathydraconidae. The record is from RefSeq and is a predicted model, not a curated record. The transcript is spliced from 3 exons.